UACGUGGGGGGCAAGCGUUGUUCGGAAUUACUGGGCGUAAAGGGCUCGUAGGCGGCCAACUAAGUCAGACGUGAAAUCCCUCGGCUUAACCGGGGAACUGCAUCUGAUACUGGAUGGCUUGAGUUCGGGAGAGGGAUGCGGAAUUCCAGGUGUAGCGGUGAAAUGCGUAGAUAUCUGGAGGAACACCGGUGGCGAAGGCGGCAUCCUGGACCGACACUGACGCUGAGGCACGAAAGCGUGGGGAGCAAACAGG
This 253-nucleotide ribosomal RNA is filed under the name uncultured bacterium. RNAcentral's name for it is "partial 16S ribosomal RNA". It matches the Rfam family "Bacterial small subunit ribosomal RNA", at positions 524 to 776 of the family's 1533-position model. The record is from RNAcentral.